UACGUAGGGGGCAAGCGUUGUCCGGAAUCAUUGGGCGUAAAGAGCGUGUAGGCGGCCAGAUAAGUCCGCUGUGAAAUCUCGAGGCUCAACUUCGAGCUGUCGGUGGAAACUGUCUGGCUAGAGUCCGGAAGAGGAGAAUGGAAUUCCUAGUGUAGCGGUGAAAUGCGCAGAUAUUAGGAAGAACACCGGUGGCGAAGGCGGCUCUCUGGAACGGUACUGACGCUGAGACGCGAAAGCGUGGGGAGCGAACAGG
RNAcentral lists this ribosomal RNA (253 nucleotides) under uncultured bacterium. Its description in RNAcentral is "partial 16S ribosomal RNA". It matches the Rfam family "Bacterial small subunit ribosomal RNA", at positions 524 to 776 of the family's 1533-position model. The record is from RNAcentral.